This 26-nucleotide non-coding RNA is filed under the name Mus musculus (house mouse). The record is from RNAcentral. Lineage: Eukaryota; Metazoa; Chordata; Mammalia; Rodentia; Muridae.
UAGCAACUCAGGAUUGGCCGGACUGU